CUGAAUCUUUUGGACAUGUCAUAUGCAGAGUCUUAUGCCUUCUGGUCCACCAGUUGUUCGAACCUCAUGGUUGAGUUGCUGCGGUUUGUUUGAUGUGAUGGCAGGAUCUGAAAGAUAAUUUCAGAAGAUAAGCAGAAAAGCAUAAAUCAGCAAACAAUGGACAGCAGAAAAGCUUAAAGAACAGCCAACAAGACAGUAUUCAUUGGGUCGUAUAUUCUUCUCUGUACAUUCAAGCACUAAUGUCUGUCUUUGCAACAUAAAUUUCUUGUGUUCAUGUUUUGGAAUUUUUAGAUUCAUGAGAACAGAACACAGUUCCUACUUUCCUACUCUUUUUCGUAUAUUCAACAGCACAUUAAUGGGCUUACCAGAUACGGCCUUUUUGAGACGAAAGAAUGGGCCUUAUGAGUCCGUUAGCUGUUUACUUUAGGACAGCGACAUUUAACGAAGCCGCUGACAUUUUAUGUUUCUCAGAUCUGUCAGUGUCGGUGAUCGACGCGGCGGCAGAGAGAAUAAAUAAAUAAAAUCUUCGAAAACACGAAAAAUUAAUUGUUUAUUUAAAAAAGCUUCUUUUUUCUUUUUUUGACAACGGGAUUUUUGGAGUUUUUAAGGCCGUAAGCUUGCUCACACGAAUCAAACCCAACUAGCUUCUUUUACUAGAUCCGAUCCCGAAAUAUCCUACUUUCCUUGUUCACAAAGUUGCAAUCUUUGAGGAUCUUAGGCUCAACCCAUUACUUCCUCUGGUGAAUGUGAGUAAGGUUGCAUUGGCUCGAGGAACAUGGCGAUGGGGAAGUAUUCUCGUGU
Camelina sativa (false flax) is the source of this 801-nucleotide non-coding RNA. The record is from RefSeq and is a predicted model, not a curated record. NCBI's taxonomy places the organism in Eukaryota, Viridiplantae, Streptophyta, Magnoliopsida, Brassicales, Brassicaceae.